UGCAGAGGGAUUAGCUGCGGCAUCAAACAGAAUCUGUAAAUAACUUGAUAUAUUUUUUUCCCUGAAGGUUGAGCAUUCAGGUAUCACAAAGGUUCUCCCUUGUGGCUACUCCGUAGGCCCUAGAGUGCAGUGUUAUGAAGGUGUACCUUGCCACAUCUGAUUGCAAGCAGGAGAUAUGUGGGGGUCUAACUUAGUUUUGGGCUACAUUAACUUCCUAUUUGAUAUUACAAAAAUAAUCACCAUAUGAAUUUUCAGUGUUCUCCCCAGAAGAUAUAGCUACGGUUUUAUACAUGGACAGUACAUCUUCGAUUGUUAAGAUUACAUUAAUUGUACGACAAAAUGUAGCAUAGCAGGCAGUAGCAGCUAGAAAAAUGUAGAAAUAUUCAUACUUACCAAUUAAGAAAUCUUUCUAUAGUUGUGAUGGCCUUUCUAAUAUCCUUGUUUACAUGAAUUUUCUAUAAUUGCGAUUGUUGUUGUAUGGUCAUCAUUUGGUGAAGAUUUAUCAAUCGUGUCGUCCAGUCAGAUGUAGCAUACAAGGCGUAGAGAUGAUUUUCUUUUGUUCACAAACUACAUGCCUUUGUUCACAAACUACAGGCCUGAAGAUUUAUCAAUCGUGUCGUCCAGUCAGAUGUAGCAUACAUGCCUUCAUCAUACAUGAAUGUUUAGAUAUCUGAAAGCAUGUAAGCAGACGUGCGUGCACGUGUCCGCUUACUAGUAGCUCCACAAUUAUACUAACUAAAUACGGAUUAUUUGCUAACCGUGUGCACUUGCUGAUUACCAUUACCGAUAAGGCUGAAAUUCCACCACCAUGAGAAUCUUUCAGACCCCAUUUUCUUUUUUCUCCUCAACCCGCCAGCCUCGGAGCCGCCUCCUCCUCCUUCCCUUCCCCUGCGGGUGCCGCCGCCGACCCCCCACGCGACCACGCACCGCCACCGCCGAUCCCCACCACGCGACCACGCAUUCCGAUCGCGACCCGACGCCGCUGCCGAUCCCCGCCCGAGACCAGCCGAGCCGCUCGCGACACGCCGCCAUCUCGUCCCGUCGGGACCCAAACUCCGCGAGGUCCCAGGCCUCGACGCGCCGUCGUCACUCCGGUCCACCCCCCGCCGCGCGUCCCGAUGGCGCCGUCGACGGCUCGCCGCUCCGGCCCGGCCCCUGCGCGUCAUCGUCUUCCGCUCCUACAUAGGCCUCCAAUCCUACCUGGUAGGGAAUUAAUGGACACUUCGCGCCCUCGCCCAGAUCUGCAGCGUUUGGCUGGCUCUGAUCGGUGGCUCCUGUGCAAUUGGUGAUCAGCUGCUGCAGUGUUUUGUUCUGAAAUUCUAAUCUCCCUGUCACCUCGAAAUGUCUGAUCCCCAGCCACCUCCAGGCAUGCAAAUUCUAAAAUUCUAAUCUCCCUAUCUGUAGUGCUUUGUUCUACGAUUGCCCUGUGGUGGCGUGCGUGGUUUGUGUUCUUAACACAGAAGGAGGCAUGAUAGUUUGUUGCACCGAGGAUUGUUUAGAAAACAGAAAUUGUAAUCUUAUUCCUUUUACUGCUAUGUUUGUUACAUGGAGACGAUCAGGAUGUUGACAUGGAGCAGCAGCAGCCAAGUGACCAUUCUUCUGAUUUUGACCCCAAUAUUUCUGUUGCAUAGAGCAGCAGCCUUCUAUGGAUCCAUGUCUCAUGUCCUAUGUACUGAACUAUUGAUACACUACUGUUGUCUCUCUCCAAGUUAUGUAUUUACUGCUGCCAUAAUUUUUAUUUUUCACAAAGCCGCUAUCUGACAUAGCUGCGCUAUAGCCCCGUUGUAGCUGUUUAGCUGCUUGAAAAAUGUUUCCGCUGUACUGCAUAGCCCGCUAUUUAAAAUCAUGAUGCUGCAUAAGUUAGGAAGUACUAGCUUUUUGGAGUUGUUCGUUAAUAGGUAUUUACAUGCUUUUCACUGGGAGACAGACUUUGUGCAAUUUUAGAAAUUUUAGAGCCUAGGUAUUCAACUUCCAUCAUGCUCUUAUCCAUACAAGCAGUGCAAAUAAAAUGGACCUGACUCUCCCUUUCUUUCUUCUACAAAUCAGGAGUGCUUUUUUUUCUAAGGCUGAUCAUGAAAUUGUUACUAACUCUGAAGCUAAUAUUCUGAAUUUGAUGUAGUCGGAUGCCCGAUCGAUCUUUGUUCAUAGCAACCAGUUUUAAGCUCUGCCAUUUUGUGUGAAUGAUAUUGUAUUUGACAAGGUGGACAAGGGCUGCUGAUCCAACUAUGAAGCCUUGACAAUAAAGGUAAACUAUGCUUACAUUGUGUGAUUGGUUAAAUGACCAUACCCUGUGUUGUAUACCUGUGUUUACCAUCCACAAACUCUUCUGUAUUUCUUAUAUAAAGAAAAGAUUUACUCCUGGCCUUAUUGUAUUAGUAAUACUAGGAAGUAUCUGAUGGUGGAAGAAGUUUUUUGGUAACCUAUCCACUAUAUAUAGAAAGUUCAGUGUGCCAAAUUUCAAUUAUCAAAUGAGGGUGCAUGUCACCAUUUGAAACUUGGUAAUGCUCAACCUCUGUUCUCAAUGACAACCGUAUAAAUUUUUUUGUGUCAACUGUAAAACAUCUGCACUGUUUGCUGAAUCCUUAGUUUUGUAACUAUCAAGAUAGAUACUGAACCAUCUGCAUACGAGUCUACUUCACCUGAACGUAAAAUAUGUGUCAACUGUAAAACAUCUGCACUGUUUGCUGAAUCCUUGGUUUUGUAACUAUCAAGAUAGAUACCGAACCAUCUGCAUACGAGUGCUUUUGUUCAGUGUCAGAUCAGCCUAUUUUAUAUUACUCAUUAUUAAAAAGAGUUGGCUGGGGUAGUUGAGUUGUAGAAGUUCUGAUUUGCACAAUUUCCAUUUUGUAUGUCAAUAGGGAUCCUGAUUGAUGGUUGAGCAAUAUUUUUUUACCUGACUUAUUUUUUUUUGGUAACCUAUGCUGUUGUACCUGAUUACGGGGACUUACUAUAGCUAAAAUGACAUAUAUGGAGAAGGGAGUAAGGUUUAUUGCUGAAAAGAACCAGGUUGGACAUUAUUACUCUAACAAGCCAGCCAUUGGAGUAAGAGAGAGUACAUGCACAUUAUAUUCAACAAAAGGAGAUCAGAGAGUACAUGCACAUUAUAUUCAACAAUACGUAUUCCAACAGAAUAAAUGAAUAUGGAUAAAGGUAAAUAUUUAAAGCCUGAUGAAAUAUCACCCCCACUGCUUCAAGUAAUUUAGCUUGCUUAAUUUUUUAGGGAAGAGUUCAUUGAUUUGAUUCGGCAAUAACUGCUUAUUGAGAAAAAUCUAACUUGGAUAAGGACCCCUCUGCUCUCUCUGAAUCCUGUUUUGACUGUUCAUAUAUUAUCACUGUUGGCUUCAGACUUUCAGUUGCCAAAAAAUCACAUCAUUCGAGGCUAACUGGCAUAUAGAGAAUUAGCAAUUUUGUGCUUGCGGUCCUUCAGUACCUGAGUAAGGACCUAAUAGCUAUCUUAAAUGUGUGCAGUCCCUUUAUUUUUCUGUCUUAGCUUGCUAGCUGCUUCUAAAUUCUGAGAGUUGAAUGCAUCUAUGAAUUGGCAAUGCAUAGUGAACUCCUUCAUGCUCAUCUGGAAAGAGGGAACAAAAAAACUUGUAGCUAUUUCUUUUUGGAGAUACGCGUUAGCUUUCUAUAGUUCUGUCAAAACUCCCAUUAGCUGACCAUGAUAGUUGCUUUUUUUAUCCUGGAAAUCAAUCCAUACAAAAUGUUUCUGAAACUCGUGUCGUUAAGUUCUACAUUUUCUGAGUUUAGAGUUGGUGUAAAAUAAGGGAUGACGUGGUGUUUGUAUCAUAAUUGUUUAUGAUACUGACAUAAAUGGUUAGGAGAUUUGGAUUUCUAAUAUCUGGAAAUAUCUUUGUACUAAGAUGUGUUAUUGGUAAUGGUGACUUGGGAAUUCCAAAUGCUUGCCGUUGUUUCCCAUCCCGAGUCAAGUAGGGAAGACUACUUAUUUUAAAAAAGUGGUCUUACGGAGUACAUUGGUACUUUCAGCAGAGCGUAAUUGAGGCCUUGGGUUCAUGUUAUGCAAUUUUUUCUUGGAAAUUCCGCUGUAAACCUUAAUCUUGUAUCCUUAUUGGUUCAGAUUUGAUGAUUUUGGAUAUUGUCUAUGUUCAAAUGAGAUUGAUUUGACUUUGGUGUAUAAUGGUGCAUUUUUUUAAAUGGUCAUCAUGGUUCAGAUUUGAUGAUUUUAUGAAGAAAGUUUGGGCAUUGUGUGUGUGUGUGGGGGGGGGGGGGGCAACUUUAGCAUUUUGGCUUAAAAAUAAAUAAGAGAGACAAAAAAACCUGUAGAAAGAACAAGUCAUCGUAUAAAAAAGGUAGAAUUUGAGUUGUCACGUAUUGUGAAUACGUGCGUUGCACGUGCAAGCUCACUAGUAUUAAAAGUUGGGUUUAUGUUUUGUAUUAAGUUGUGAUAAUUUAGAGACGGUUUAUUUAGCUUUUCUUUGAUUUAUAUAUUAACUUGGUUAUGAAUAAAUUUAAUGAAUGUUUCAAGUGGUAUGUACUCCGUAUAUUAUUUUCAUUGGUCAUAUGGUUUUUAGCAAGUACAUCUAACCAAAUUGUAGCCAUGGAUGUUGAGAUGAGCUUACGAACAACUUGGCAGCCGCCAUGCCUCCUCGUCGACUGACUCGACCUUCCCCAUGAGCUCCCAAAGGAGGUAGUCCGGGGCUGGAGAUGAGCUGUAUAUGUCAGCCUACAUAUCGCAGCGCCCCUUCCCCUGAAACUCGGCCCGAUCCGACCACCGAAGCUGCACACUUUUUUCGCCUUAUGUGCCUCAGCCUCCUCGUUCCCCGCCACCACACACACGCUCGGGCUGCCCGUGUUCCCUGCACCCGCCAUGUCGUAUGAUAGAGAAGAUGGGAGUCGGCGGAGAGUGCCUGCAUGGUUUGAGAUGAAAACGUGGAGAAAACUCGGCGGUCGAGGAAGCACACAUGGUUGUGACUCAAACGUUCCUGAAUGUGUGGAAGGGACCUUGACGACAAGAGGCAUGCCCUAAUAGGUGGGCCACUCAUCGAGAAACGGGGCAGAAGGAGACAGCAGGGCUCUCCUUGCAUCAAUUAUGCCCGGCAUACAUAUUGAAAAGAUUAAUUUAGUAAGGAGGUUUCCUAUCUUCCAAUGGUAGGUGCACCUCAAAGUUGUUUUUUUCUUUCUUUUUUUUUUGGUCGGUUCUUAUGUUAUGUAUUUGUAUCCUUUUUGCGUGCCAAGCUAUGAAUUCAGCACUUGUCAUCAUCACUCUAUCCUCCAUGAAAACUAGCUAAAAGCACAUGCGUUGCUAUAGAAAUAUUAAUCAAUCUAGUCAAUUAUAAAGAA
Brachypodium distachyon (stiff brome) is the source of this 5301-nucleotide long non-coding RNA. RefSeq lists it as uncharacterized. The record is from RefSeq and is a predicted model, not a curated record. The transcript is spliced from 3 exons. Lineage: Eukaryota; Viridiplantae; Streptophyta; Magnoliopsida; Poales; Poaceae.